RNAcentral lists this ribosomal RNA (390 nucleotides) under uncultured bacterium. RNAcentral describes it as "bacterial SSU rRNA". It matches the Rfam family "Bacterial small subunit ribosomal RNA", at positions 28 to 420 of the family's 1533-position model. The record is from RNAcentral.
GACGGACGCUGGCGGCGUGCUUAACACAUGCAAGUCGAGCGGUAAGGCCCUUUCGGGGGUACACGAGCGGCGAACGGGUGAGUAACACGUGGGUGACCUGCCCUCAGCUCUGGGAUAAGCCUGGGAAACUGGGUCUAAUACUGGAUAUGACUCCACGGUGCAUGUCGUGGGGUGGAAAGCCUUGUGCGGCUGAGGAUGGGCCCGCGGCCUAUCAGCUUGUUGGUGGGGUGAGGCCUACCAAGGCGACGACGGGUAGCCGGCCUGAGAGGGCGACCGGCCACACUGGGACUGAGACACGGCCCAGACUCCUACGGGAGGCAGCAGUGGGGAAUCUUGCGCAAUGGGCGAAAGCCUGACGCAGCGACGCCGCGUGAGGGAUGACGGCCUCGG